UACGGAGGGGGCUAGCGUUGUUCGGAAUUACUGGGCGUAAAGCGUACGUAGGCGGCUUUGUAAGUUAGAGGUGAAAGCCCAGAGCUCAACUCUGGAAUUGCCUUUAAGACUGCAUCGCUUGAAUCGUGGAGAGGUUAGUGGAAUUCCGAGUGUAGAGGUGAAAUUCGUAGAUAUUCGGAAGAACACCAGUGGCGAAGGCGAGUUUCUGGACGGUAACUGACGCUGAGGCACGAAGGCCAGGGGAGCAAACGGG
This 253-nucleotide ribosomal RNA is filed under the name uncultured bacterium. Its description in RNAcentral is "partial 16S ribosomal RNA". It matches the Rfam family "Bacterial small subunit ribosomal RNA", at positions 524 to 776 of the family's 1533-position model. The record is from RNAcentral.